This 64-nucleotide transfer RNA is filed under the name Ictidomys tridecemlineatus (thirteen-lined ground squirrel). RNAcentral's name for it is "Spermophilus tridecemlineatus (thirteen-lined ground squirrel) tRNA". It matches the Rfam family "tRNA", at positions 5 to 66 of the family's 71-position model. From Rfam's summary of the family: Transfer RNA (tRNA) molecules are approximately 80 nucleotides in length. Their secondary structure includes four short double-helical elements and three loops (D, anti-codon, and T loops). Further hydrogen bonds mediate the characteristic L-shaped molecular structure. tRNAs have two regions of fundamental functional importance: the anti-codon, which is responsible for specific mRNA codon recognition, and the 3' end, to which the tRNAs corresponding amino acid is attached (by aminoacyl-tRNA synthetases). tRNAs cope with the degeneracy of the genetic code in two manners: having more than one tRNA (with a specific anti-codon) for a particular amino acid; and 'wobble' base-pairing, i.e. permitting non-standard base-pairing at the 3rd anti-codon position. The record is from Rfam by way of RNAcentral. Lineage: Eukaryota; Metazoa; Chordata; Mammalia; Rodentia; Sciuridae.
AUACAGCUCAGUUGGUAGAGUGCUUGCCUCACAUGCACAAGUCCCUGGGUUCAAUUCCCAGUAU